UACGUAGGGUGCGAGCGUUGUCCGGAAUUAUUGGGCGUAAAGAGCUCGUAGGCGGUUUGUCGCGUCUGCUGUGAAAACCCGAGGCUCAACCUCGGGCCUGCAGUGGGUACGGGCAGACUAGAGUGCGGUAGGGGGAGAAUGGAAUUCCUGGUGUAGCGGUGGAAUGCGCAGAUAUCAGGAGGAACACCGAUGGCGAAGGCAGUUCUCUGGGCCGUUACUGACGCUGAGGAGCGAAAGCGUGGGGAGCGAACAGG
This 254-nucleotide ribosomal RNA is filed under the name uncultured bacterium. RNAcentral describes it as "partial 16S ribosomal RNA". It matches the Rfam family "Bacterial small subunit ribosomal RNA", at positions 524 to 776 of the family's 1533-position model. The record is from RNAcentral.